Molecule: long non-coding RNA, 4150 nt
Filed under: Citrus x clementina
Lineage: Eukaryota; Viridiplantae; Streptophyta; Magnoliopsida; Sapindales; Rutaceae
Description: Citrus clementina (C. clementina) long non-coding RNA (CCLE_LNC006116)
Source: RNAcentral
CAUUCCGAGUCCGGCGGACGAACUUCGCCCGCGCCCCCCACCAAGGCUAUAGCCCACCCGUUUUCUGGCCAUUUUUCCGCUGGGGGGUUUUGGCACCACGACCUUCGGGCGCUUAUUUUUGGGCGCAGCUGUGCCCGCGACUACCCGCGGGCACCUCGAGGCCCCUUGCAAAGUCUCGCCCCAUUCCGAGUCCGGCGGACGAACUUCGCCCGCGCCCCCCACCAAGGCUAUAGCCCACCCAUUUUUUGGCCAUUUUUCCGCUGGGGGGUUUUGGCACCACGACCUUCGGGCGCUUAUUUUUGGACGCGGCUUUGCCCGCGACUUUCCGCGGGCACCCCGAGGCCCCUCGCAAAGUCUCGCCCCAUUCCGAGUCCGGCGGACGAACUUCGCCCGCGCCCCCCACCAAGGCUAUAGCCCACCCGUUUUUUGGCCAUUUUUCCGCUGGGGGGUUUUGGCACUACGACCUUCGGGCGCUUAUUUUUGUGCGCGGCUUGGCCUGCGGCUUAUUUUUGGCACCCCGAGGCCCCUCGCAAAGUAUCGCCCCAUUCCGAGUCCGGCGAACGAACUUCGCCCGCACCCCCCACCAAAGCUCUAGCCCACCCGUUUUUUGGCCAUUUUUCCGCUGGGGGGUUUUGGCACCACGACCUUCGGGCGCCUAUUUUUGGGCGCGGCUUUGCCCGCGGCUUAUUUUUGGCAGCCCGAUGCCCCUCGCAAAGUCUCGCCCCAUUCCGAGUCCGGCGGACGAACUUCGCCCGCGCCCCCCACCAAGGCUAUAGCCCACCCGUUUUUUAGCCAUUUUUCCGCUGGGGGGUUUUGGCACCACGACCUUCGGGCGCUUGUUUUUGGGCGCGGCUUUGCCCGCGGCUUAUUUUUGGCACCCCGAGGCCCCUCGCAAAGUCUCGCCCCAUUCCGAGUGCGGCGGACGAACUUCGCCCGCGCCCCCCACCAAGGGUAUAGCCCACCCGUUUUUUGGCCAUUUUUCCGCUGGGGGGUGUUGGCACCACGACCUUCGGGCGCUUAUUUUUGGGCGCGGGUUUGCCCGCGGCUUAUUUUUGGCACCACGAGGCCCCUCGCAAAGUCUGGCCCCAUUCUGAGUCCGGCAGACGAACUUCGCCAGCGCCCCCCACCUAGGCUAUAGCCCACGACCCGUUUUUUGGCCAUUUCUCCGCUGGGCGGUUUUGGCACCACGACCUUCGGGCCCUUAUUUUUGGGCGCGGGUUUGCCCGCUGCUUAUUUUUAGCACCCCGAGGCCCCUCGCAAAGUCUCGCCCCAUUCCGAGUCCGGCGGACGAACUUCGCCCGCGCCCCCCACCUAGGCUAUAGACCACCCGUUUUUUGGCCAUUUGUCCGCUGGGGGGUUUUGGCACCACGACCUUCGGGCGCUUAUUUUUGGGCGCGGCUUUGGCCGCGGCUUAUUUUUGGCACCCCCAGGCCCCUCCCAAAGUCUUGCCCCAUUCCGAGUCCGGCGGACGAACUUCGCCCGCGCCCCCCCCAAGGCUAUAGCCCACGACCCGUUUUUUGGCCUUUUUCCGCUGGGGGGUUUUGCACCACGACCUUCGGGCGCCUAUUUUUGGGCGCGGCUUUGCCCGCGGCUUAUUUUUGGCACCCCGAGGCCCCUCGCAAAGUCUCGUCCCAUUCCGAGUCCGGCGGACGAACUUCGCCCGCGCCCCCCACCAACGAUAUAGCCCACCCGUUUUUUGGCCAUUUUUCCGCUGGGGGGUGUGGGCACCACGACCUUCGGGCGCUUAUUUUUGGGCGCGGGUUUGCCCGCGGCUUAUUUUUGGCACCCCGAGGCCCCUCGCAAAGUCUCGCCCCAUUCCGAGUCCGGCGGACGAACUUCGCCCGCGCCCCCCACCAAGGCUAUAGCCCACCCGUUUUUUGGCCAUUUUUCAGCUGGGGGGUUUUGGCACCACGACCUUCGGGCGCUUAUUUUUGGGCGCGGGUUUGCCCGCGGCUUAUUUUUGGCACCACGAGGCCCCUCGCAAAGUCUCGCCCCAUUCUGAGUCCGGCAGACGAACUUCGCCAGCGCCCCCCACCUAGGCUAUAGCCCACGACCCGUUUUUUGGCCAUUUCUCCGCUGGGCGGUUUUGGCACCACGACCUUCGGGCGCUUAUUUUUGGGCGCGGGUUUGCCCGCUGCUUAUUUUUAGCACCCCGAGGCCCCUCGCAAAGUCUCGCCCCAUUCCGAGUCCGGCGGACGAACUUCGCCCGCGCCCCCCACCUAGGCUAUAGACCACCCGUUUUUUGGCCAUUUGUCCGCUGGGGGGUUUUGGCACCACGACCUUCGGGCGCUUAUUUUUGGGCGCGGCUUUGGCCGCGGCUUAUUUUUGGCACCCCGAGGCCCCUCGCAAAGUCUUGCCCCAUUCCGAGUCCGGCGGACGAACUUCGCCCGCGCCCCCCACCAAGGCUAUAGCCCACGACCCGUUUUUUGGCCAUUUUUCCGCUGGGGGGUUUUUGCACCACGACCUUCGGGCGCUUAUUUUUGGGCGCGGCUUGCCCGCGGCUUAUUUUUGGUACCCCGAGGCCCCUCGCAAAGUCUCGCCCCAUUCCGAGUCCGGCGGACGAACUUCGCCCGCGCCCCCCACCAACGCUAUAGCCCACCCGUUUUUUGGCCAUUUUUCCGCUGGGGGGUGCUGGCACCACGACCUUCGGGCGCUUAUUUUUGGGCGCGGGUUUGCCCGCGGCUUAGUUUUGGCACCCCGAGGCCCCUCGCAAACUCUCGCCCCAUUCCGAGUCCGGCAGACGAACUUCGCCCGCGCCCCCCACCAAGGCUAUAGCCCACGACCCGUUUUUUGGCCAUUUCUCCGCUGGGCGGUUNNNNNNNNNNNNNNNNNNNNNNNNNNNNNNNNNNNNNNNNNNNNNNNNNNNNNNNNNNNNNNNNNNNNNNNNNNNNNNNNNNNNNNNNNNNNNNNNNNNNCACGACCUUCGGGCGCUUAUUUUUGGGCGUGGGUUUGCCCGCUGAUUAUUUUUGGCACCCUGAGGCCCUUCGCAAAGUCUCGCCCCAUUCUGAGUCCGGCGGACGAACUUCGCCCGCGCCCCCCACCUAGGCUAUAGACCACCCGUUUUUUGGCCAUUUUUCCGCUGGGGGGUUUUGGCACCACGACCUUCGGGCGCUUAUUUUUGGACGCGGCUUUGCCCGCGGCUUAUUUUUGGCACCCCGAGGCCCCUCGCAAAGUCUUGCCCCAUUCCGAGUCCGGCGGACGAACUUCGCCCGCGGCCCCCAGCAAGGCUAUAGCCCACGACCCGUUUUUUGGCCAUUUUUCCGCUGGGGGGUUUUGGCACCACGACCUUCGGGCGCUUAUUUUUGGGCGCGGCUUUGCCCGCGGCUUAUUUUUGGCACCCCGAGGCCCCUCGCAAAGUCUCGCCCCAUUCCGAGUCCGGCGGACGAACUUCGCCCGCGCCCCCCACCAAGGCUAUAGCCCACGACCCGUUUUUUUGCCAUUUUUCCGCUGGGGGGUUUUUGCACCACGACCUUCGGGCGCUUAUUUUUGGGCGCGGCUUUGGCCGCGGCUUAUUUUUGGUACCCCGCGGCCCCUCGCAAAGUCUCGCCCCAUUCCGAGUCCGGCGGACGAACUUCGCCCGCGCCCCCCACCUAGGUUAUAGACCACCCGUUUUUUGGCCAUUUUUCCGCUGGGGGGUUUUGGCACCACUACCUUCGGGCGCUUAUUUUUGGACGCGGCUUUGCCCACGGCUUAUUUUUGGCACCCCGAGGCCCCUCGCAAAGUCUUGCCCCAUUCCGAGUCCGGCGGACGAACUUCGCCCGCGGCCCCCAGCAAGGCUAUAGCCCACGACCCGUUUUUUGGCCAUUUUUCCGCUGGGGGGUUUUGGCACCACGACCUUCGGGCGCUUAUUUUUGGACGCGGCUUUGCCCGCGGCUUAUUUUUGGCACCCCGAGGCCCCUCGCAAAGUCUCGCCCCAUUCCGAGUCCGGCGGACGAACUUCGCCCGCGCCCCCCACCAAGGCUAUAGCCCACGACCCGUUUUUUGGCCAUUUUUCCGCUGGGGGGUUUUUGCACCACGACCUUCGGGCGCUUAUUUUUGGGCGCGGCUUUGCCCGCGGCUUAUUUUUGGCACCCCGAGGCCCCUCGCAAAGUCUCGCCCCAUUCCGAGUCCGGCGGACGAACUUCCCCCGUGCCCCCCACCAAGGCUAUAG